This 339-nucleotide ribosomal RNA is filed under the name Triticum aestivum (bread wheat). RNAcentral describes it as "partial small subunit ribosomal RNA". Lineage: Eukaryota; Viridiplantae; Streptophyta; Magnoliopsida; Poales; Poaceae. The record is from RNAcentral.
AUGGCACAUGGCAGUAGUAUUCUCCUUCAUACCUGGUCAACCGUUGUAUUUCUAUUGCGUCUUGCAAGUCAGCAUACAAUUCCGUUCUUAGGUUUCCUUGAUGCCUUUCGAUCCAGUCUAUUUGUACAACAAAAUAUAUGCAAGGGCAAUGAACUGCAAUUUAGGCUUUUCACACACAAGCAAGUGUUUCGACAGAAAGGAGAUCAACUUCCAAGACCAGUGGAUGUUAAGUUCCAAUCUUCAUUUGAAAACACAAAUAUGAUGGUACUUGCCGGAGGUGGUCUGCUUGCUCGAUGGAGCCGAUGGCACAAUCAAGGAGAUUUGGACACUCGCUCGUGA